Molecule: ribosomal RNA, 2529 nt
Filed under: human gut metagenome
Description: bacterial LSU rRNA
Rfam family: Bacterial large subunit ribosomal RNA
Source: RNAcentral
AGCGUACACGGUGGAUGCCCUGGCAGUCAGAGGCGAUGAAGGACGUGCUAAUCUGCGAAAAGCGUCGGUAAGGUGAUAUGAACCGUUAUAGCCGGCGAUGUCCGAAUGGGGAAACCCAGUGCAAUUCGUUGCACUAUCGUUAACUGAAUACAUAGGUUAACGAGGCGAACCGGGGGAACUGAAACAUCUAAGUACCCCGAGGAAAAGAAAUCAACCGAGAUUCCCCCAGUAGCGGCGAGCGAACGGGGAGCAGCCCAGAGUCUGAAUCAGCUUGUGUGUUAGUGGAACGGUCUGGAAAGUCCGACGGUACAGGGUGAUAGUCCCGUACACCAAAAUGCACAGGUUGUGAACUCGAAGAGUAGGGCGGGACACGUGGUAUCCUGUCUGAAUAUGGGGGGACCAUCCUCCAAGGCUAAAUACUCCUGACUGACCGAUAGUGAACCAGUACCGUGAGGGAAAGGCGAAAAGAACCCCGGCGAGGGGAGUGAAAAAGAACCUGAAACCGUGUACGUACAAGCAGUGGGAGCACCUUCGGGUGUGACUGCGUACCUUUUGUAUAAUGGGUCAGCGACUUAUAUUCUGUAGCAAGGUUAACCGUAUAGGGGAGCCGCAGGGAAACCGAGUCUUAACUGGGCGUUAAGUUGCAGGGUAUAGACCCGAAACCCGGUGAUCUAGCCAUGGGCAGGUUGAAGGUUGGGUAACACUAACUGGAGGACCGAACCGACUAAUGUUGAAAAAUUAGCGGAUGACUUGUGGCUGGGGGUGAAAGGCCAAUCAAACCGGGAGAUAGCUGGUUCUCCCCGAAAGCUAUUUAGGUAGCGCCUCGUGAAUUCAUCUUCGGGGGUAGAGCACUGUUUCGGCUAGGGGGUCAUCCCGACUUACCAACCCGAUGCAAACUACGAAUACCGAAGAAUGUUAUCACGGGAGACACACGGCGGGUGCUAACGUCCGUCGUGAAGAGGGAAACAACCCAGACCGCCAGCUAAGGUCCCAAAGUCAUGGUUAAGUGGGAAACGAUGUGGGAAGGCACAGACAGCCAGGAUGUUGGCUUAGAAGCAGCCAUCAUUUAAAGAAAGCGUAAUAGCUCACUGGUCGAGUCGGCCUGCGCGGAAGAUGUAACGGGGCUAAACCAUGCACCGAAGCUGCGGCAGCGACACUAUGUGUUGUUGGGUAGGGGAGCGUUCUGUAAGCCUGCGAAGGUGACCUGUGAGGGUUGCUGGAGGUAUCAGAAGUGCGAAUGCUGACAUAAGUAACGAUAAAGCGGGUGAAAAGCCCGCUCGCCGGAAGACCAAGGGUUCCUGUCCAACGUUAAUCGGGGCAGGGUGAGUCGACCCCUAAGGCGAGGCCGAAAGGCGUAGUCGAUGGGAAACAGGUUAAUAUUCCUGUACUUGGUGUUACUGCGAAGGGGGGACGGAGAAGGCUAUGUUAGCCGGGCGACGGUUGUCCCGGUUUAAGCAUGUAGGCUGGUUGUCCAGGCAAAUCCGGAUAAUCAAGGCUGAGGUGUGAUGACGAGGCACUACGGUGCUGAAGUAACAAAUGCCCUGCUUCCAGGAAAAGCCUCUAAGCAUCAGGUAACAUCAAAUCGUACCCCAAACCGACACAGGUGGUCAGGUAGAGAAUACCAAGGCGCUUGAGAGAACUCGGGUGAAGGAACUAGGCAAAAUGGUGCCGUAACUUCGGGAGAAGGCACGCUGGUGUGUAGGUGAAGUCCCUGCGGAUGGAGCUGAGACCAGUCGAAGAUACCAGCUGGCUGCAACUGUUUAUUAAAAACACAGCACUGUGCAAACACGAAAGUGGACGUAUACGGUGUGACGCCUGCCCGGUGCCGGAAGGUUAAUUGAUGGGGUUAUCCGUAAGGAGAAGCUCUUGAUCGAAGCCCCGGUAAACGGCGGCCGUAACUAUAACGGUCCUAAGGUAGCGAAAUUCCUUGUCGGGUAAGUUCCGACCUGCACGAAUGGCGUAAUGAUGGCCAGGCUGUCUCCACCCGAGACUCAGUGAAAUUGAACUCGCUGUGAAGAUGCAGUGUACCCGCGGCAAGACGGAAAGACCCCGUGAACCUUUACUAUAGCUUGACACUGAACAUUGAGCCUUGAUGUGUAGGAUAGGUGGGAGGCUUUGAAGCGUGGACGCCAGUCUGCGUGGAGCCAACCUUGAAAUACCACCCUUUAAUGUUUGAUGUUCUAACGUUGGCCCCUGACCGGGGUUGCGGACAGUGUCUGGUGGGUAGUUUGACUGGGGCGGUCUCCUCCCAAAGCGUAACGGAGGAGCACGAAGGUUAGCUAAUCCUGGUCGGACAUCAGGAGGUUAGUGCAAUGGCAUAAGCUAGCUUGACUGCGAGCGUGACGGCGCGAGCAGGUGCGAAAGCAGGUCAUAGUGAUCCGGUGGUUCUGAAUGGAAGGGCCAUCGCUCAACGGAUAAAAGGUACUCCGGGGAUAACAGGCUGAUACCGCCCAAGAGUUCAUAUCGACGGCGGUGUUUGGCACCUCGAUGUCGGCUCAUCACAUCCUGGGGCUGAAGUAGGUCCCAAGG